ACGUAGGGUGCGAGCGUUAAUCGGGAUUACUGGGCGUAAAGUGUGCGCAGGCGGCGCUGCAAGUCGAGUGUGAAAUCCCCGAGCUUAACUUGGGAAUUGCGCUCGAAACUACGGCGCUGGAGUAUGGCAGAGGAAGGUGGAAUUCCACGUGUAGCAGUGAAAUGCGUAGAGAUGUGGAGGAACACCGAUGGCGAAGGCAGCCCCCUGGGCCAAUACUGACGCUCAUGCACGAAAGCGUGGGGAGCAAACAGGA
This 253-nucleotide ribosomal RNA is filed under the name uncultured prokaryote. Its description in RNAcentral is "partial 16S ribosomal RNA". It matches the Rfam family "Bacterial small subunit ribosomal RNA", at positions 525 to 777 of the family's 1533-position model. The record is from RNAcentral.